This 107-nucleotide small nuclear RNA is filed under the name Apaloderma vittatum (bar-tailed trogon). The record is from RNAcentral. Lineage: Eukaryota; Metazoa; Chordata; Aves; Trogoniformes; Trogonidae.
GUGCUCAUUUCAGCAACACAUAUACUAAAAUUGGAAUGAUAAAGAUAAGAUUAGCAUGGCCCUUGUGCAAGGAUGACAUGCAAAUUCGUGAGGCAGUUCAUAUUUUU